GUUUUGUGGUUGAUCAACACUGCUAGAACUUGCUUUGACAAUCUUAUUGCGUAGAGGAAAUUAGUCAUAGUUAUAGAUUUCUUCCUGUAAAAUUUAUUAUAAAAGUUGAGCACAACCUGAGAGUCGAGAGCGGAGAGUGAAGUGAGAAGAGCCAUUUAGGCUAAAAUACUUCAUAAGCCAACAAAGGCUGAAGUAUAUAAUCAAAAGGCCAGAUAGUUAAGCCUUGUCAAGUAAACUAAGAACAUUGUAAUAUUGUGAAAUUAUUAAAGAAGACGGAAUACGAAGUAUAAAGAAUAUAGAUUCAAAGUUGUGCUCAGCUCAAAC
Molecule: non-coding RNA, 324 nt
Organism: Paramuricea clavata
Lineage: Eukaryota; Metazoa; Cnidaria; Anthozoa; Malacalcyonacea; Plexauridae
Source: the annotation of a GenBank genome assembly